This 436-nucleotide ribosomal RNA is filed under the name uncultured bacterium. RNAcentral describes it as "bacterial SSU rRNA". It matches the Rfam family "Bacterial small subunit ribosomal RNA", at positions 33 to 507 of the family's 1533-position model. The record is from RNAcentral.
AACGACGCUGGCGGCAGGCUUAACACAUGCAAGUCGAACGCUCGUAGCAAUACGGGAGUGGCGGACGGGUGAGUAACGCGUGGGAACGUGCCCUGAGGUACGGAAUAACUGCGGGAAACUGCAGCUAAUACCGUAUGAGCCCCGUGAGGGGGAAAGAUUUAUCGCCUUAGGAGCGGCCCGCGUCGGAUUAGCUAGUUGGUGGGGUAACGGCUUACCAAGGCUUCGAUCCGUAGCUGGUCUGAGAGGACGAUCAGCCACACUGGGACUGAGACACGGCCCAGACUCCUACGGGAGGCAGCAGUGGGGAAUCUUGCGCAAUGGGGGCAACCCUGACGCAGCCAUGCCGCGUGAAUGAUGAAGGCCUUAGGGUUGUAAAGUUCUUUUGCCCGUGACGAUGAUGACGGUAACGGGAGAAUAAGCUCCGGCUAACUUCGUG